Molecule: long non-coding RNA, 1186 nt
Filed under: Brachypodium distachyon (stiff brome)
Lineage: Eukaryota; Viridiplantae; Streptophyta; Magnoliopsida; Poales; Poaceae
Description: long non-coding RNA (BDIS_LNC003361)
Source: RNAcentral
CUGCUUUGUUGUAUCACUUGAGAUUCUGAGGGCUACAAUGGUGCUCCUUGAGCAGUUUCUUGAGGAGGAAGAAGAAGAAGGGGAAAACCCUCGAUGACUAAGUGAAGGACCCUCUCCCAGGAGGGGUGGUGCUCCUAUUUAUAGGCCGCAGAUGUUACAUUUGCCCUAUAAAUGUCUGUCAGUGGCUCGGUGCGGACGGCGCGCGCCGGGCCCCACCUGUCAGUGGCCUAUAAAACAAUUUGCUCCGGGCCCCACCUGUCAGUGCCCUAUAAAACAAUUUGCUCCGGGCCCCACCUGUCAGUGGCUCGGUGCGGGUGGCGCGCGCCAGGCCGGUUCUGGCGCGGUCGGGACUGGGCCGGUUCGGCCCAUUUGGCCGGGCCGGUCCGGUUUUCUACCUUUUUUUUCUUUUAGCCUUUUCUUUUUUUCCUUUUUCUCAUUUCUUUGAUAUCUUUUGAUUUUGAACUCCGAAUUGGCCCAAAUAAAUUCCAGAAAAUUUGUAAAAUCAUGUUUUAUCAUGAUUCAACUUUUGGGAGUAAUUUCCCCUCAAAAUAAAAUAUAUAAAAAUACAUUUGCCCUAUAAAUGCCUUUAGGGCUAUAUAACUAUUUAAAUAAAAUAGUUUUUCAACUCCAAAUAAUUAUCCAAAAAUUAUGGGAUAGCUUAUUUAUGCAAUAAACCCCUUUUAUAAAUAAACCCUAUUGGUUUGAAGAUCCAAAGCUCAAAUGGGUGUAAACCCAAGGGUUUAAAUUGAAAUAAAAACUUUUAAAGCCUUUUGAGAUUCAAAUUUGAAUUCAAAUAUGCAAUUGUGGCAUGAUGGUCAUGGAUGCAAUGCACAUGUAAGAAUUUGAAAUUUUGGGAUGUUACAUGUCGGAAGAAACUUUUAAAGCUAUUAGAUCCCUGGGAUGCCGGUUGCAGAUGUAAAUACUUUGAAGUACUUUCAGUUAUGAUGCACGAUAUUUUUAAUUUCCUUAUGCCUUUUUAGUUAUUGAGUUCCUAACCGAGUCCUCGAGUUUAUUUUUUUUGUUGGUGAAAUAAUAUGACCUCGGAUUUUUGUCUGCCUUGUCAACGUUCGACGUAUGAAUCACAAACUCAUAGAAUAGACCCUUCAAAAAAUUUUAACUCAAAAAACCCGCCUGGAAAUGCCCGACAUAGGAAAGGAAUGCUGGGUUAGAGGUAAAACAACGCGUA